CCUACGGGAGGCAGCAGUGGGGAAUAUUGCACAAUGGGCGCAAGCCUGAUGCAGCAACGCCGCGUGAGGGACGACGGCCUUCGGGUUGUAAACCUCUUUUAGUAGGGAAGAAGCGAAAGUGACGGUACCUGCAGAAAAAGCACCGGCUAACUACGUGCCAGCAGCCGCGGUAAUACGUAGGGUGCAAGCGUUAUCCGGAAUUAUUGGGCGUAAAGAGCUCGUAGGCGGUUUGUCGCGUCUGCUGUGAAAACUGGAGGCUCAACCUCCAGCCUGCAGUGGGUACGGGCAAACUAGAGUGCGGUAGGGGAGAUUGGAAUUCCUGGUGUAGCGGUGGAAUGCGCAGAUAUCAGGAGGAACACCGAUGGCGAAGGCAGAUCUCUGGGCCGUAACUGACGCUGAGGAGCGAAAGCAUGGGGAGCGAACAGGAUUAGAUACCCUGGUAGUCCAUGCCGUAAACGUUGGGCGCUAGAUGUGGGGACCAUUCCACGGUUUCCGUGUCGCNGCUACGCAUAGUACGCCCGCCGUCGGGAGGUACGGCCGCGACGACGUAACUAACAAAGAAGUAGACGGCGUGAGACGUCGCGACGGACGACGACGAGGGAGGAGG
This 607-nucleotide ribosomal RNA is filed under the name uncultured bacterium. RNAcentral describes it as "bacterial SSU rRNA". The stretch from base 1 to 523 matches the Rfam family "Bacterial small subunit ribosomal RNA", at positions 338 to 873 of the family's 1533-position model. The record is from RNAcentral.